UUAAAUUCUAUGAGUGGAAGAGUAAAUCACAUGUCCCUUUCAAGCGAAUCGGAGUUGGUGGAAGUCCGAUAAUACAUGUAGUUGAAGAGAGCCCAUGAGAAGCCUAUGGCCGGUCGUCCCCGUUAUCGACAUUGAGUGAGAAGGAGAUUCCUUCUAAUAAGAGUGGCAACGCGGAUUUAUUCGUCUCUUGA
Molecule: non-coding RNA, 191 nt
Filed under: Clostridiales bacterium
Lineage: Bacteria; Bacillati; Bacillota; Clostridia; Eubacteriales
Description: T-box sequence
Rfam family: T-box leader
About the family: Uncharged tRNA acts as the effector for transcription antitermination of genes in the T-box leader family. T-boxes are found upstream of many aminoacyl-tRNA synthetase genes and some amino acid biosynthetic genes usually in Gram-positive bacteria.
Source: RNAcentral